RNAcentral lists this unclassified non-coding RNA (194 nucleotides) under uncultured Agaricales. RNAcentral's name for it is "sequence contains ITS2". Lineage: Eukaryota; Fungi; Basidiomycota; Agaricomycetes; Agaricales. The record is from RNAcentral. RNAcentral also lists the same sequence under 1 other name.
UCAAGUUCUCAACCACAACUGGAUUCUUUUUUCUGUUGUGGCUUGGAUUGGUGGGGGAUUUGCUGGCUUUCACAAGUCUGCUCCCCUGAAAUGCAUUAGUGGUAUGAGCUACUACGUGGUGUGAUAAAUUUAUCUAUGCCCUGCUAGUGUGCAGCUGUAUACUGCUUCUAACAAAAACCUUAUUUGUUUGAUGA